AUACGGAGGAUCCGAGCGUUAUCCGGAUUUAUUGGGUUUAAAGGGUGCGCAGGCGGCCAUUUAAGUCAGCGGUUAAAUCGUGGGGCUCAACCCCAUUCUGCCGUUGAUACUGGGUGGCUUGAUUGCGGUCGAGGUUGGCGGAAUUCGUUGUGUAGCGGUGAAAUGCAUAGAUAUGACGAAGAACACCGAUUGCGUAGGCAGCUGACCAGACCGCAAAUGACGCUCAUGCACGAAAGUGCGGGGAUCGAACAGGAUUAGAUACCCUGGUAGUCCGCACAGUAAACGAUGAAUACUUGUUUUCGGCGAUAUAAUGUCGGAGGCAAAGCGAAAGCGAUAAGUAUUCCACCUGGGGAGUACGCCGGCAACGGUGAAACUUAAAGGAAU
RNAcentral lists this ribosomal RNA (384 nucleotides) under uncultured bacterium. RNAcentral's name for it is "partial 16S ribosomal RNA". It matches the Rfam family "Bacterial small subunit ribosomal RNA", at positions 523 to 910 of the family's 1533-position model. The record is from RNAcentral.